AUGGCUCAGAACGAACGCUGGCAGCGUGGAUUAGGCAUGCAAGUCGAACGGGAUCCGGGGGGUAGCAAUAUCCCUGGUGAGAGUGGCGGAUUGGGGAGGAACACGUGAGCAACCUGUCCUUUGACGGGGAAACCGUUGGAAACGACGGCUAAUACCGGAUGUGGCGUCCGAUGGCAUCACCGGAACGCUGAAGGGGGCCAAAAGCUCCCGCUCGAGGAGGGGCUCGCGCAUCAUCAGCUUGUUGGCGGGGUAACGGCCCACCAAGGCUUACGAUUAGCUGGUCUGAGAGGAUGACCAGCCCCCACUGGGACUGAGAUACUGCCCAGACUCCUACGGGAGGCUGCAGUCGAGGAUCAUUCGCAAUGGACGAAAGUCUGACGAUGCGACGCUGCGUGGAGGAUGAAGGUCUUCGGAUCGUAAACUCCUGUCAUGAGGGAAAAGGCGAGGGGUGCCAAUACCACCCUUAGUUGAUUGUACUUCAAGAGGAAUGGGCGGCUAACUCUGUGCCAGCCGCCGC
Molecule: ribosomal RNA, 517 nt
Filed under: uncultured bacterium
Lineage: Bacteria
Description: bacterial SSU rRNA
Rfam family: Bacterial small subunit ribosomal RNA
Source: RNAcentral